GGAAACUGGGAGAACUUCGGGGAGGGAAUGGGGGGGGACUGGGAGAACUGGGAUGGACUGGGAUGGACUGGGAAGACUGGGAUGGACUGGGAUGGACUGGGAGGACUGGGAAUACUGGGAUGGACUGGGAAGACUGGGAUGGACUGGGAGGACUGCGAGGACUGGGAGGACUGGGAUGGACCGGGAGUCGCGGCUCGUUGCACACGCGCCUGCAAUACCCGCCGUCACCGCGCGGCGGCGCUGUUGCGCUGCGCUUUGUGUAAAUGCCCCUUGGAGGGCAGUUAUAGCGUGGGGAUAUUAUGGGAUGUGGGGACGUUGGGGGCACUGGGGACACUGGGGGAUAUGGAGACAUUGGGGCCAUAAGGAUGUGGGGAUAUUAUGGGAUAUGGGGACGUUGGGGUGAACGGGAACGAUGGGGUUAAUGGGAUGCGGUGGGGAUUGGGAUUGGGGUGGGGUGGUUAUGGGUGGGGUGGUUAUGGGCGGGGGGGAUGCGGGCCGGGGGGACCGUAGGGUGGGGGUGGUGGUGGGGUGGAGGGGGCUAUGGGAUGGCUGUGGGGUGGGGUGGUCAUAGGGUGGGGUUGGCUGUGGGGUGAGGUGGCUGUGGGGUGGGGGUGGUUGUGGGGCAGCGAGGGCUAUGAGGGGGGUGGCUAUGAGAUGGGGGUGGGUAUUUGGUGGCUAUGGGGCGCUAUGGGGUAUCUAUGGGGCGGCUAUGGGGCACUAUGGGGCGUGCCGGGAUGGAGGCCAUUGCAGUGACGUGGGGGGGGGGAUGACAUCAGCCCCAGCAGCACCAGUGCAGCUGCAGCACCAACACCAACACAUGCGGGGCACAGAGCUGCGGGGCUGUGCUAUGGGGCUGUGCUAUGGGGCACAGAGCUAUGGGGCACAGAGCUGUGGGGCACAGAGCUGUGGGGCUGUGCUAUGGGGCUGUGCUAUGGGGCACAGAGCUAUGGGGCACAGAGCUAUGGGGCUUUGCUAUGGGGCGCAGAGCUAUGGGGCACAGAGCUGUGGGGCACAGAGCUGUGGGGCACAGAGCUAUGGGGACACAUUGGUGACACACCGGGCUUUAAGGACCCACAGGUGUGAACUCACCAGGAUUCGGUGCCACACACAAGGAUUGCGUGCCCCCACCUGGACCCACACACUGCCCCACACGGGGCUUUGCACGAGGACUGGUGACACAGUGACUGGGCAUGAGGACAUGGGACUGCCCCCCCCCACCCCCCCGUGUGCUCACGAGGCCGCCCAUGUGCCAACGGUGCACAUGUGGGGACAGCAGCGAUUGUGCAACACCGGGCUUUGGGGAGGGGGGGGGCACAAACAAACACAAAUCGUGCGGUGGUGCCAACUGUUGUGCAACUGUUGUGUGACCGCCCCCAGUGCGGCCCCACAGGGCUCACAAACGGGGUCAGAAUGGGUCCGAAUAGGGUCAGAAAUGGGGUCUGACAACGGGACCAAAUGGGGCCACAAAAGCGGCCCCAAAUGGGGUCUGAAAGGGGGGCAGAAAUGGGGUCUGAAAGGGGGAACAAAUGGAUCAAAAAUGGGUCUGAAAUGGGGUCUGAAAUGGGGUCCCAAAUUUGUCUCAAAUGUGGCACUGAAUGUGGUCCCAAAAGUGGUUCCAAUGGGGCCCAAAUGAGGUCCAAAAUGGGUCCCAAAAGUGGCACCAAAUGUGGAGCCGAAUGGGAUCCCAAAUUGCUCCCAAAUUUGGUCCUAAGUGCGGCCUCAAAUACGGACCCCAAUGUGGACAUGAAGGAGAUCCUGAAUGCGGCCCAAAUCAAUGGGGAAAUGAUGAAUGGGGAAAUGAUGAAUGCGGAAAUGAUGAAUGGGGAAAUGAUUGAUGGGAAAUGACUGAUGGGAAAGGAUGAAUGGGGAAUGACGAAUGGGGAAUGAUUGAUGAGAAACGAUUGAUGAGAAAUAAUUGGUGAGAAAAGAUCAACGGGAAAUGAUGAAUGGGGAACGAUGAACGGGGAAUAUCAAGAGGACAUGGGGACACUGGGACACAGAGAUCUGUGCACAUGGGGACACUGGGGACACUGGGGGUCAAAGGGGUCAAUGGGGUCAAUGGGGACAUUGGGGACAAUGGAGUAAUGGGGGGUAAUGGGGGGCAAUGGGGACCCUGGGGACACUGGGGACACUGGGGACACUGGGGACAUUGGGGACACUGGGGACUUUGGGGACAUUGGGGACACUGGGGACACUGGGGACACCCCCAGCGCCGUUGGCCCCACAGCCGCAGCGCCGCCCCUCGACCUGUGGGGCAGAAGCGGCGCGGUGACAACGGGGCGCACCUUGGGGUGGGGCGGGGUGGGGGGGCGGGGCUGCGCGUUGUGCAACCCGUGUUGGGGGGGCACGUCGAGCCCCACCCCUCGCCCCCCCCCCGGCCCCAUAAAUACCCCCGGGGGGGCGGAGGGGCCGUAAUCGCCGCCCGCCAUGGAGGUGACGCUGCUGCUGUUCCUGGGGCUCUCCCUCAUCCUCCUCCUCGCGGUCCGCGGGCGGCGGGGGUCCGGGGGGGGCCGCCUCCCCCCAGGUCCGACCCCGCUGCCCCUCAUCGGGAACCUCCUGCAGAUCUCCCCAUCCCAAACCCUCAAAUCUUUCCUUAAGGUGGGUCCGGGGGGGAACGACCCCCCCCCAAAAAA
This 2633-nucleotide long non-coding RNA is filed under the name Phasianus colchicus (ring-necked pheasant). RNAcentral describes it as "lncRNA (ENSPCLG00000018974.1)". Lineage: Eukaryota; Metazoa; Chordata; Aves; Galliformes; Phasianidae. The record is from RNAcentral.